Molecule: long non-coding RNA, 1205 nt
Organism: Herpailurus yagouaroundi (jaguarundi)
Lineage: Eukaryota; Metazoa; Chordata; Mammalia; Carnivora; Felidae
Exons: 6
Source: RefSeq, a predicted model, not a curated record
CUAUUUGAAAAUUAAUGUAUAGAUUUGGGAAAUAUAUCCCGGUGCAAGGCAUAUGAUAAACUUUAACGCAGAGGACAAUGCUUUCUAAGGAAAUCAGGAUACGAGCCUUGUGUCACUGACAGGAGCUGGUGCAGGUUAAGAAGAAGAAUGAAAAUACAUUAAGCUUGCAGAGAAACCAUCCUUUCUGCAUGGAUGUGAGAGCUUUAGAGCAAGAACAGCUUAGGGGAGAUAAGCCCAGCUCUUAUUCCCAGCAAAAGGAAACUGGAGUUAAGAACAUUUUAUAAGAAUCAGUGUUAAACUAGGUAGGGGUUUACUUGGCCAUCAAGAGUGCAGUUUUCACUUGCACUGAGAGGCCAGACUCAGGGCUCAGAUAGAAAGGAAUGUGCUUCCCUAGUACCCAAGGGAACUGAGAAAGAGAAAUUUAGCAGCUGCUUCAAAUCUUCUUAGUAGCAGUCGGGGUAUAUAGCUAAACUAACCAAACAAAUAAAUGGCUCUGGUUUUGGACUGGCAGUGGAAAGAAGUGAACUAGAAUGGAAACUGGAAACAAUUUAAAAGACAGCUCUGUAUGGGAACAUGAGUGAAAUGGCUUUAUGCAACACAUAUGCUUAUUUGCCUCCUUUGUACCUAAUUUGUACCUAACGAUCUGCUUGGACUAGAUAACCGGUUUAUACACCCUAAAUGGAUGACAGUGAAAUGGAUCUGAAGUGAAAGCGCACACAUCCCAGGGGCAGAGUAUGAGCUCCUCACGGGACUAUGCGUCUUUGAUAAAGGUACCUAGGGACACAUAGGUAGCGUGAAUUUGUGCCUUAAAAUGUAAGAGGACCUGCUUGUUGCAAGAAACUCUCAGGGAAACAUUCCCUACCCACCUGCAUCUAGCCAAAUCCAAGGCUAAACAGCUUUUAUAUACUGACAAAAAAAAUUGGAAAUCACCUGAAUGUUUGCCAGUUGGAAUCUGGGUCUGCGUUUGUAAUAUUUUGCAACUCUUAAGAAGAAACAGAAGAAAGGCUGGCGGCCCCUCCUCUUUCCACCAACCCCAGCAUUCAAUAAACACAGCAGAGCCCACCAUGUUGUUGGAGUCGGGCCUCGCUGGCCGCCCCACAACCCCCACACCCCUUUCCCCUGGAACCCUGAAGAGGUUUCCUCUCUCUUCUCACGGAGACAGAGAGAGAGAGAGAGAGUAUGAGCGGCAGAGAAGGGCAGAAGGA